RNAcentral lists this ribosomal RNA (487 nucleotides) under fungal sp. TA295. RNAcentral describes it as "eukaryotic LSU rRNA". The stretch from base 115 to 268 matches the Rfam family "5.8S ribosomal RNA". Lineage: Eukaryota; Fungi. The record is from RNAcentral.
UCUCUUACCCAUGUCUUUUGAGUACCUUACGUUUCCUCGGCGGGUCCGCCCGCCGACUGGACAAUUUAAACCACUUGCAGUUGCAAUCAGCGUCUGAAAAAACUUAAUAGUUACAACUUUCAACAACGGAUCUCUUGGUUCUGGCAUCGAUGAAGAACGCAGCGAAAUGCGAUAAGUAGUGUGAAUUGCAGAAUUCAGUGAAUCAUCGAAUCUUUGAACGCACAUUGCGCCCCUUGGUAUUCCAUGGGGCAUGCCUGUUCGAGCGUCAUUUGUACCUUCAAGCCUUGCUUGGUGUUGGGUGUUUGUCUCGCCUCUGCGCGUAGACUCGCCUCAAAACAAUUGGCAGCCGGCGUAUUGAUUUCGGAGCGCAGUACAUCUCGCGCUUUGCACUCAGAACGACGACGUCCAAAAGUACAUUUUUACACUCUUGACCUCGGAUCAGGUAGGGAUACCCGCUGAACUUAAGCAUAUCAAUAAGCGGAGGAGG